GUGGAGCACGCCGCGUGUGUGAUGAAGGCUUUCGGGUCGUAAAGCACUGUUGUAUGGGAAGAACGGGUUUAAGAGGAAAUGCUUAGACAGUGACGGUACCAUACCAGAAAGGGACGGCUAAAUACGUGCCAGCAGCCGCGGUAAUACGUAUGUCCCGAGCGUUAUCCGGAUUUAUUGGGCGUAAAGCGAGCGCAGACGGUUGCUUAAGUCUGAAGUGAAAGCCCACAGCUCAACUGUGGAAUGGCUUUGGAAACUGGGCAACUUGAGUACAGUAGAGGUAAGUGGAACUCCAUGUGUAGCGGUGGAAUGCGUAGAUAUAUGGAAGAACACCAGUGGCGAAGGCGGCUUACUGGACUGCAACUGACGUUGAGGCUCGAAAGUGUGGGUAGCAAACAGGAUUAGAUACCCUGGUAGUCCACACCGUAAACGAUGGAUACUAGUUGUUAGAGGGUUUCCGCCCUUUAGUGACGAAGCAAACGCAUUAAGUAUCCCGCCUGGGGAGUACGACCGCAAGGUUGAAACUCAAAGGAAUUGACGGGGACCCGCACAAGCGGUGGAGCAUGUGGUUUAAUUCGAAGCAACGCGAAGAACCUUACCAGGUCUUGACAUCCUUUGAAGGUACUAGAGAUAGUACUGUCUUCUUCGGAAGCAAAGUGACAGGUGGUGCAUGGCCGUCGUCAGCUCGUGUCGUGAGAUGUUGGGUUAAGUCCCGCAACGAGCGCAACCCUUAUGUUUAGUUGCCAGCAUUCAGUUGGGCACUCUAGACAGACUGCCGGUGACAAACCGGAGGAAGGCGGGGACGACGUCAGGUCAUCAUGCCCCUUAUGACCUGGGCUACACACGUGCUACAAUGGCGUAUACAACGAGCAGCAAACCUGUGAAGGUAAGCGAAUCUCUUAAAGUACGUCUCAGUUCGGAUUGUAGUCUGCAACUCGACUACUUGAAGUCGGAAUCGCUAGUAAUCGCGGAUC
Molecule: ribosomal RNA, 971 nt
Filed under: Fructobacillus fructosus
Lineage: Bacteria; Bacillati; Bacillota; Bacilli; Lactobacillales; Lactobacillaceae
Description: bacterial SSU rRNA
Rfam family: Bacterial small subunit ribosomal RNA
Source: RNAcentral